RNAcentral lists this ribosomal RNA (253 nucleotides) under uncultured bacterium. Its description in RNAcentral is "partial 16S ribosomal RNA". It matches the Rfam family "Bacterial small subunit ribosomal RNA", at positions 524 to 776 of the family's 1533-position model. The record is from RNAcentral.
UACGAAGGGGGCUAGCGUUGUUCGGAAUUACUGGGCGUAAAGAGUUCGUAGGCGGUUUAUUAAGUUAGAUGUGAAAUCCCUGGGCUUAACUCAGGAACUGCAUUUGGAACUGGUAAGCUAGAGAGUGUUAGAGGUUGGUAGAAUUCCUAAUGUAGGGGUGAAAUCCGUAGAUAUUAGGAGGAAUAUCGAUGGCGAAGGCAGCCAACUGGGACAUUUCUGACGCUGAGGAACGAAAGCGUGGGUAGCAAACAGG